Molecule: transfer RNA, 73 nt
Filed under: Pteropus alecto (black flying fox)
Lineage: Eukaryota; Metazoa; Chordata; Mammalia; Chiroptera; Pteropodidae
Rfam family: tRNA
About the family: Transfer RNA (tRNA) molecules are approximately 80 nucleotides in length. Their secondary structure includes four short double-helical elements and three loops (D, anti-codon, and T loops). Further hydrogen bonds mediate the characteristic L-shaped molecular structure. tRNAs have two regions of fundamental functional importance: the anti-codon, which is responsible for specific mRNA codon recognition, and the 3' end, to which the tRNAs corresponding amino acid is attached (by aminoacyl-tRNA synthetases). tRNAs cope with the degeneracy of the genetic code in two manners: having more than one tRNA (with a specific anti-codon) for a particular amino acid; and 'wobble' base-pairing, i.e. permitting non-standard base-pairing at the 3rd anti-codon position.
Source: Rfam by way of RNAcentral
GGUUCCAUAGUGUAGCGGUAAGUACAUCUGCUUUACACACAGAAGGUCCUGGGGUGGCACCCCAGUAGAGCCA